This 8882-nucleotide long non-coding RNA is filed under the name Homo sapiens (human). Its description in RNAcentral is "non-protein coding lnc-AGO2-2:1". Lineage: Eukaryota; Metazoa; Chordata; Mammalia; Primates; Hominidae. The record is from RNAcentral.
CCCCUCACCGUGGCCUUGGCCGUGAGCACCAACGCCUCCUGGUUGAUGCUGGACACCUCGGGGGAGCUCUUCAUGAUGACCCGGAUGCGGGAUAGAGGCAGCGAGAUGAGCCGCUGCUCCCCGCCCUUGUCUUUACCCACGACCACGUCCGCCAUCUUCCCGCCCGUCGCGCGGGUGCCCGCAGCCGGCGGGCCCGACCGCGAAGUGGCUGCCCUGCCCGGCCAGCUGGUGGGUACGGGGAGCCGCGCCCGCUGCCCCGUGGGAGUUGUAGUGUGGGGAGGCGAGGCCGCGAGGCCGGGAGCGGCCCGUCCGGGAAACUACGAGCUCCGUGAGGCCUCGCGCCCCCGAUCUGCGCAUGCGCCGACGCUCGGACACCGCCCCCGAGUGCGAGGCCCGGCGCGGAACCGGCAGCCGAGAGCCUGGCGGGGGCGGGGCGCACCGCGCCGCUCCCGGGAGUCUCCGGGCUGCGGUCGCGGAAUACGACUUUGAUCCGCGGGUGAGGGCUCUGUGAAUGGGCAAGCAAAGCCCUCUGACUCCGGGCCUCGUGGCUGGGUGCUGUGUGUUAAGCGCCUGCGCUGUACUAGGACCGGGCGUGCCGCCGUCGGCAAAAAGUGACGCUUUCUUGAAGCACAAAGUCCAGGGGGGACGACCAAGCGGACAGCGGAUGCGUCCUGCGCCGGUAGCCAGGCGACCGGUGGAAGAGCAGAGUCCAGCGCGGGCGAUGCGGCGGGGCCAGGCUUGCUGCGCCGCGGGGUGAUUGGGAGAAGAGCCUUCCUGCGGGGUGGAGGACGAAGAGCUGCCCUGAGGAGGUCCCGGAGUCUGGUGGGAACGGCCUCUUCGGGACUGCUCCGAGAGACGGUGUGCAGAGCCUGGCGUGCUCGCCGAGGUCUGACAGGCAGCCCGGGGCUAGGUCCUGUUGGAUUUUUUUUUCUAAGGAAAAUGGGAAGUGGUGGUAGGGUUUGAGCAGUGGAGUCCCGGGCAGUUUUAAAAGGAUCCCUGCAGCUGCCGGCUGGGAGGGCGUGGGUGCGCGUAAGGCCGGAAUCACAGAGACCAGGUAGAAGAUGAUUACGAGAACCCAGGAACGUGGCCCUCAGGAGGCCGGCAGUACCAAGGGGACAGCAGCUGGGAGGAGAGAGGCAGGAGAUGGUCAGGGGCCAGACCAGGGAAGGCCGCGGAGACCGCAGAAUUCGCUCUGAAUGAGUGGGGAGGCCCUUGGAAGAGUAAGGGGUCCAACUUAACUUUUUUUUUUUUUUUUUUUUUUGACACAGAGUCUCGCUCUGUCGCCAGGCUGGAGUGCAGUGCGAUCUCGGCUCACUGCAACCUCCAACACCCCGAUUCAAGCAAUUCUCCUGCCUCAGCCUCCUGAGUAGCUGGGAUUAUAGGCACGCGCCACCCAGCUAAUUUUUUGUAUUUUUAGUAGAGACGGGUUUUCACCAUGUUGGCCAGGAUGGUCUCGAUCUCCUGACCUCGUGAUCCGCCCGCCUCGGCCUACCAGAGUGCUGCGAUUACAGGCGUAAGCCACCGCGCCUGGCCACCAACUUAACUUCUGCCAGGAUCAUGGGAAGUGGUAGGGUUUGGGGUCUGAUUUCAAGAGGGAGCUGCUGUGGAGUAUCAGCACAGCUUACUGAGAUAUCAGAAAGGCCUUGGUAAAGAGCCCUUUACUGAGACAGGGAGCACAUUUUGGCAGAGGUUUGAAUUGGAGCGUGUUAAGUGUAGUGUCUUCUUCACCACUGUGACGUGAGGUCCUGGCGCAAAUAAUUGAGCACAGAAAUACAUGUCAGGCAUUGCUAGGCACAAGGGUACAGCCAGUGAGCAGGGCUGCCAUGGUCCCUGCCCUCUUAGAGCUGACCUUCAGGUCUGAGGGAGACUGAAAAAUAAGUAAGAAUACCUCCAGCCGGGCGCUUUGGCUCACGCCUGUAAUCCCAGCACUUUGGGAGGCCAAGGUGGGUGGAUCACCUGAGGUCAAGAGUUCGAGACCAGCCCAACCAAUAUAGUCAAACCCCAUCUCUACUGAAAUUAUUAAAAUUAGCUGGGCGUGGUGGUGGGCACCUGUAAUGCCAGCUACUCGGGAGGCUGAGGCAGGAGAAUCGCUGGAACCCAGGAGGCAGAGGUUACAGUGAUCCGGGAUCGCGCCACUGCACUCCAGCAGCCUGGGCGACAGAGGGAGACUCCAUCUCAAAAAAAAAAAAAAAAAAAAAAUACACCUCCAAUGCUGAAAGCUACGAAGGAAACAAAACCAUGUGCGAGUGAUAGGGCAGCCCCUCUGGGAAGUGACAUUUGUGCCCAGAUCUGAAGAAAGAAAAGGAGCCACUCAUACAGAAAGACUGAGACAAGAUGAGCUUUCGGGACAAGUCAGGCUCUAGGGAGAACACCUGACGAGGAAAAUGCCUGGGCAGUUUGAGGAACUGAAAAGCCAGUGUGUCUGGAGCUUAGUGAGGGAGGCAGAGAGCACGGGAGGUGUGGUUACCAAGGUAGGUGGGACCGGCUCUGGCCCUGGGUAAAAAGUUUGACUUUCAUUCCAAGAGUAAUGGAAAAUAAUGAAGAAUUUUGAACUCGAGGUGGUGCAUGCCUGUAAUCCCAGCACUUUGGGAGGCUGAAGCAGGCAGAUCGCUUGAGCCCAGGAGUUUGAGAUUAGCCCGGGCAGCAUAACAGGGCAGCAUCUCUACAAAAAUUUUAUUUUUGGCCGGGCGCGGUGGCUCACACCUGUAAUCCCAGCACUUUGGGAGGCCGAGGGGGGGCAGAUCUCCUGAGGUCAGGAGUUCGAGACCAGCCUGACCAACAUGGCGAAACCCCGUCUCUACUAAAAAUACAAAAAAUUAGCCGGGCAUGGUGGCACGCGCCUGUAAUCCCAGCUACUUAGGAGGCUGAGGCAGGAGAAUCGCUUGAACCCGGGAGGCGGAGGUUGCAGUGAGCCAAGAUCACGCCACUUGCACUCCAGCCUGGGCAACAAGAGAGAAACUCCAUCUCAAAAACAAACAAAUCCAGACCAGCCUGGCUAACAUGGCAAAACCCCCUCUCUACUAAAAAUAGAAAAAUUGGCUGGGCAUGGUGGUAAGCACCUGUAAUCUCAGCUGCAUUGGCGGCUGAGGCAGGAGAAUCACUUGAACUCAGAAGGUGGAGGUUGCAGUGAGCACAGAUCACACCACUGCACUCCAGCCUGGGCAACAGAGCAAGACUCUCAAAAAAAAAAAGUUUUGAAGGGAGCAGAUCCACUUUAAAAGCUCACACUGGUUCUUGAGUGAUGACCAAAUGGCACUGUGCCUUAUGCAGAGCCGACUCCUGGCAGUUUGCACAGGCUGGAGGUGGAGCUGCAGACUCCCUCUCCCUCUCGGCCUUGCCUCUGUAAAUGGGAAAGCCGUUGACAUUCACAAAAGAGGGGCAGGGAACUGCUACACAAGAGCAGCUACACAAGAGGGUCCUUUGGUCCACACAGGAAACAAGCCAUAGUGAUGACAUAUUUUGAAGCUGUUAGAUGUUUUGUUUCCCUAGCUGGCUAUUAUUUUUGUAUGGCUUGUCUUUCUCUUUUGAGUAUGUGUGAGAACAGGAUGGGUUAACAUUAGGGAAGAGCACAGAAGAGGAAGGAAGGAAAGAAGGAAGGGAGGGAGGGAAAGGAGAGAGAAUAGGGAUGAGAAGCUCAGCUUGUAGAAUUGGCAGGUGAUGUUUGCAGUCAUUAAUCAUUUGAGAAGUAGAGAGAGAAGCCAAGCAGGAAAUCUUCAUACUGGAAAAGAAGUGCUCACCAUUAAAAAAAAAAAAAAAAAAAAUCCAGUGUGGUUCACAGCUGUAAUCCCAUCACUUGGAGGCUGAGGCAGGAGAAAUACGUGAAGCCAGGAGUUUGAGACCAGCCUGGGCAAUAUAACAAGACCCACAUCUCUACAAAGAGAAAAAAAAUGUAAAAAAAAGAAGCUUUAAACCUAAGACGGCAGAAUUCAAGACUGUUGUCCUUGAGAACUUCCUGGCUCUGGAAAAAGCUCAGCUGGGGUCAGCCCAUCUGACUUGGGCGAAGGUCUACACAUCUCUGCUUCCUCGCUGUGAUCUCCCAGAUAACCGCCCGUGAAGAAGUCUGUGCCCUCGGCCCUAAGCUGUGAACCUGCUGCCUUCCAUGGCAAAAGGGACUGUGGAGGUGUGAGUCAGUUCAUGACCUUGACUGGGGAGGUGAUCCUGGGUUACUUAGGUGGCCCAGCGGAAUGGCAUGAACCCCAGAAGAGGAGGACAAAGGCAGAAGAGCCCGUCUGAGAGAAGUGACGGCAGAGGAGGAGGCAGGGAGGUGCCGUGUGCUCAUCAGCCAUCAUCGGCUUUGCAAGCUGGUAGGGGGCUGCCCGUAGACGCUGAGACUGGUCCCCACUGACCCCAGCAAGGUGACAACACCUCAGUCCCAUACUGCAAGGAUCUGCAUUCUGCAGACAAUGCAAAUGAGCACAGAAAAGGGAUUCUCCACUGGCCCCCAUUACGGAACUGCAGGGUUAUACAUUGUGCCGUUGUCAGCCUCUAACUUUGUAGAAGUUUGUGAUGGCAGCAAAGAAAACAAAUGGACUCUGCGAACUCCCUUUCCCUGGGGAGGAGGGGCUGGUCCUCAUCCGGUCCUGGGGUGGCCCCGGGCCCCGCUCUCCUGAAUGGAUGUGCAAGGCCAUUUCUCUGUGGUCUCUGUCUGGAACGUGGGCGCAGACGGGAGCUUGGGAAGUCCAAGCUUACUUGGCUUUGUGCCCAAACCAAGCUCUGGAUAUGAGUGCACUUGUUUAAAAAAAAAAAAAAAAAAAAAGGCAAGCACUGACCCACUUUUUCCUGACUGCUCUGGCUCAGACACUUCCCUCUAAAAGGACAUUUAUUUCAAGAACACGCUGUUCCCAGGGCUGACAUCCCCCACCUCCACUGGAAGCAGAAGCACUAACAAGAGACUGCAAGAUCUGGCGUCCGGUAUCUGAUAAUGGAGCAAAUGUUCCACCGAAAGCUGGGCCUGAUGGCUGCAUCCGCCUGGCGCUGGAGGGGCUGGGAGUUUGGCCUGAGCAAACUCAGUUGCUUAAAACAACACAAAUUUAUUUAUUUUUUUAAUUUUAUCUUUUUAAGUCCCAGGCUACAUACGCAGGCUGUGCAGGUUUGUUGCAUAGGUAAAUGUGUGUCACGGUGGUUUGCUGCACCUAUCAACCCAUCAUCUAGGUUUAAGCACAGCAUGCCUUAGCUGUUUUUUCUAAUGUUCUGCCCCCACCCCCCACCAGGACCCCAGUGUGUGUGGUUCUCCUCCCUGAGCCCACGUGUUCUCGUUGUUCAGCUCCCACUUAUAAGUGAGAACAUGCAGUGUUUAGUUUUCUGUUCCUGUGUUAGUUUGCUGAGGAUAAUGGCUUCUAGCUCCAUCCAUGUCCCUGAAAAGACAUGAUCUUGUUCCUUUUUCUUUUUUUUGAGACAGUUUCCCUCUCGUUGCCCAGGCUGGAGUGCAAUGGCCCGAUCUCAGCUCACUGCCUCCCAGGUUCAAGCGAUUCUCCUGCCUCAGUCUCCUGUGUAGCUGGGAUAACAGGCAUGCACCACCACACCCAGCUAAUUUUGUAUUUUUAGUAGAGGUGGAGUUUCACCGUGUUAAUCGGGCUGGUCCCGAACUCCUGAUCUCAGGUGAUCCACCCACCUCUGCCUCCUGAAGUGCUGGGAUUAUAGGCAUGAGCCACCACGCUUGGCCUUAUUCCUUUUUAUGGCUGCAUAUUAUUCCACAGUGUAUGAUAUGGUUUGACUCUGUGUCCCCACCCAAACCUCAUCUAGAAUUGUACUCCCAUAAUUCCCACAUGUUGUAGGAGGAAACUGGUGGGAGAGAAUUUGAAUCAUGGGUGCGGUUCCCCCAUAUUGUUCUUAUGAUAGUUAAUAAGUCUCAUGAGAUCUGAUGGUUUUAUCAGGGGUUUCCGCUUUUGCAUCUUCCUCAUCUUCUCUUGCCACCACUAUGUAAGAAGUGCCUUUCACCUCCUGCCAUGAUUCUGAGGCCUCCCCAGCCAUGUGGAACUGUAACUCCAAUUAAACCUCUUUUUCUUCCCAGUCUCGGGUAUGUCUUUAUUAGCAGCGUGAAAACCCACUAGUACAGUAAAUUGGUACCAGCAGAGUGGGGCGUUGCUGAAAAGAUACCUGAAAAUGUAGAAGCAACUUUGGAACUGGGUGACAGGCAGAGGUUAGAACAGUCUGGAGGGCAAAGAAGAAGACAGGAAAAUGUGGGAAAAGUUUGGAACUUCCUAGAGACUUGUUGAAUGGCUUUGCCCAAAAUGCUGAUAGCAAUGUGGACAAUAAGGUCCAGGCUGAGGUGAUCUAAGAUGGAGAUGAGAAACUUGGGAACUAGAGCAAAGGUGACUCUUGUUAUGUUUUAGCCAAGAGACUGGCAGCAUUUUGCCCCUGCCCUAGGGAUUUGUGGAACUUUGAACUUGAGAGGGAUGAUUUAGGGUGUCUGGUGGAGGAAAUUUCUAAGCAGCAAAGCAUUCGAGAGCUGACUUGGGUGUUGUUAAAAGCAUUCAGGUUUUUUUUUUGUUUUUUUUUAGCGGAGUCUUGCUCUGUUGCCCAGGCUGGAGUGCAGUGGUGCGACCUUGGCUCACUGCAACCUCUGCCUCCUGGGUUCAAGCAAUUCUCCUCCCUCAGCCUCCAGAGUAGCUGGGACUACAGACGUGCGACACCACACCCGGCUAAUUUUUGUAUUUUUAGUAGAGAUGUGGUUUCACCAUGUCAGCCAGGCUGGUCUGGAACUCCUGACCUCAGGCAAUCCACCCACCUCAGCCUCCCAAAGUGCUGAGAUUACAGGUGUGGGCCACCAUGCCCAGCCUAAAAGCAUUCAGUUUGAAAAGGGAAACAGAGUACUAAAGUUUGAAAAAUUUGCAGCCUGACAAUGCAAUAGAAAAGAAAAUCCCAUUUUCUGAGGAGAAAUUCAAGCCAGCUAUAGUAAUUUGCAUAAGUAACAAGGAGCCAAAUGUUAAUGCCCAAGACAAUGGGGAAAAUGUCUCCAGGGCAUGUCAGAGGACUUCACUGCAGCUCCUCCAUCACAGGCCCAGAGGCCUAGGAGGAAAAAGUGGUUUCAUGGGCUGGGCUCAGGGUCCCCGAGUUGUGUGCAGCCUAGGGAUUUGGUGCCCUUCAUCCCAGCCACUCUGGCUGUGGCUGAAAGGGGCCAACAUAGAGCUUGGGCCGUGGCUUCCGAGGGUGCAAGCCCCAAUCCUUAACAGCUUCCAUGUGGUGUUGAGCCUGCAGGUGUCCAGAAGUCAAGAAUUGAGGUUUGGGAACCUCCACCUAGAUUUCAGAAGAUGUAUGGAAAUGCCUGGAUGCCCAGGCAGAAGUUUGCUGCAGGGUGGGACUCUCAUGGAGAGCCUCUGCUAGGGUAGUGCAGAAGGGAAACGUGGGGUCAGAGCCCCCACACAGAGUUCCUACUGGGGCACUACCUAGUGGAGCUGUGAGAAGAGGGCGCCUGUCGUCCAGACCCCAGAAUGGUAGAUCCGCUGACAGCUUGCACCAUGUGCCUGGAAAAGGCACAGACACUGAACGCCAGCCAGGGAAAGCAGCCAGGAGGGAGGCUGUACCCUGCAAAGCCACAAGGGCAGAGCUGCCCAAGACCAUGGGAACCCACCUCUUGCGUCAGCAUGACCUGGAUGUGAGAUCUGGAGUCAAAGGAGAUCAUUUUGGAGUUUUAAGAUUUGACUGCCCUGCUGGAUUUCGGACUUCCAUGGGCCCUGUAACCCCUUUGCUUUGACCAAUUUCUCCCAUUUGGAAUAGCUGUAUUUUCCCAAUAACCUGUGCCCCCACUGUAUCUAGGAAGUAACUAGCUCGCUUUUGAUUUUACAGGUUCAUAGGCAGAAGGGACUUGCCUUGUCUCAGAUGAGACUUUGGACUGUGGACUUUUGAGUUAAUGCUGUGGACUUUUGAGUUAAUGCUGAAAUGAGUUAAGACUUUGGGGGACUGUUGGGAAGGCAUGUUUGGUUUUGAAAUGUGAGGACAUGAGAUUUGGAGGGGCCAGAGGUGUAAUGAUAUGGUUUGACUCUGUCCCCACCCAAAUCUCAUCUCGAAUUGUACUCCCAUAAUUCCAACAUGUUGUGGGAGGAAGCCAGUGGGAGAUAAUUUGAAUCAUGGGGGCAGUUCCCCCAUACUGUUCUUGUGGUAGUGAGUAAGUCUUAUGAGAUCUGAUGGUUUUAUCAGGGGUUUCUGCUUUUGUAUCUUCCUCAUUUUUCCCCUGCCACCGCCAUGUAAGAAGUCCUUUCACCUCCUGCCAUGAUUCUGAGGCCUCCUCAGUCAUGUGGAACUGUAAGUCCAAAUAAACCUCUUUUUCUUCCCAGUCUCAGGCAUGUCUUUAUCAGCAGCAUGAAAAUGGACUAAUACAGUGUAUAUGGACCACAUUUUCUUCAUCCAGUCUAUCACUGAUGGGCAUUUGGGUCGGUUCCAUGUCUUUGCUAUUGUGAAUAGUGCUGCAAUGAACACAUGCAUGCAAGUAUCUUUAUAAUAGAAUUUAUAUUCCUUUGGGUAUAUACCCAGUAAUGGGAUUGCUGGGUCAAAUGGUAUUUCUGGUUCUAAAUCUUUGAGGAAUUGCAAUGCUGUCUUCCACAAUUGUUGAACUAGUUUACAUUCUCAACAACAAUGUAAAAGCGUUCCUGUUUCUCUGCAACCUCAUCAGCAUCUGUUGUUCUUGACUUUUUAAUAAUCGCCAUUCUGACUGGCAUGAGAUGGUGUCUCAUUGUGGUUUUUAUUUGCAUUUCUCUAUGAUCAGUGAUGUUGAGCUUGUUUUUGGAACAAACUAGAGAACUCAGAAAUAUAACCACAUAUCUACAACCAUCUGAUCUUUGACAAACCUAACAAAAAUAAGCAAUGGGGAAUGGAUUUCCUAUUUAAUAAAUGGUGCUGGGAGAACUGGCUAGCCAUAUGCAGAAAAUUGAAACUGGACCCCUUCC